CCUACGGGCGGCAGCAGUGGGGAAUAUUGGUCAAUGGGCGCAAGCCUGACCCAGCAACGCCGCGUGAAGGAAGAAGGCUCUCGGGUUGUUAACUUUCUUUGACAGGGAAGAGUAGAAGACGGUACCUGUCGAAUAAGCCACGGCUCACUACGUGCCAGCAGCCGCGGUAAUACGUAGGUGGCAAGCGGUGACCGGAUUUACUGGGUGUAAAGGGCGUGUAGGCGGGUUGACAAGUCAGGUGUGAAAUCCUGCGGCUUAACCGCAGAACUGCAUUUGAAACUGUUGAUCUUGAGUACUGGAGAGGCAUGCGGAAUGCGUGGUGUAGCGGUGAAAUGCGUAGAUAUUAGGAGGAACACCGGUGGCGAAGGCGGUCUGCUGGACAGCAACUGACGGUGAGGCGCGAAAGCGUGGGGAGCGAACAGGAUUAGAUACCCCAGUAGUC
RNAcentral lists this ribosomal RNA (442 nucleotides) under uncultured bacterium. Its description in RNAcentral is "partial 16S ribosomal RNA". It matches the Rfam family "Bacterial small subunit ribosomal RNA", at positions 338 to 795 of the family's 1533-position model. The record is from RNAcentral.